GAUAAACGCUGGCGGCGUGCCUAAUACAUGCGAGUCGAGCGAACGGACGAGAAGCUUGCUUCUCUGAUGUUAGCGGCGGACGGGUGAGUAGCACGUGGAUAACCUACCUAUAAGACUGGGAUAACUUCGGGAAACCGGAGCUAAUACCGGAUAAUAUUUUGAACCGCAUGGUUCAAAAGUGAAAGACGGUCUUGCUGUCACUUAUAGAUGGAUCCGCGCUGCAUUAGCUAGUUGGUAAGGUAACGGCUUACCAAGGCAACGAUGCAUAGCCGACCUGAGAGGGUGAUCGGCCACACUGGAACUGAGACACGGUCCAGACUCCUACGGGGGGCAGCAGUAGGGAAUCUUCCGCAAUGGGCGAAAGCCUGACGGAGCAACGCCGCGUGAGUGAUGAAGGUCUUCGGAUCGUAAAACUCUGUUAUUAGGGAAGAACAUAUGUGUAAGUAACUGUGCACAUCUUGACGGUACCUAAUCAGAAAGCCACGGCUAACUACGUG
RNAcentral lists this ribosomal RNA (497 nucleotides) under uncultured bacterium. RNAcentral's name for it is "partial 16S ribosomal RNA". It matches the Rfam family "Bacterial small subunit ribosomal RNA", at positions 28 to 507 of the family's 1533-position model. The record is from RNAcentral.